RNAcentral lists this transfer RNA (85 nucleotides) under Acholeplasmataceae bacterium. RNAcentral describes it as "tRNA-Tyr". It matches the Rfam family "tRNA". Rfam says of the family: Transfer RNA (tRNA) molecules are approximately 80 nucleotides in length. The record is from RNAcentral. Lineage: Bacteria; Bacillati; Mycoplasmatota; Mollicutes; Acholeplasmatales; Acholeplasmataceae. RNAcentral also lists the same sequence under 1 other name.
GGAGAGGUAGCGAAGAGGCUAAACGCGGCAGACUGUAAAUCUGCUCCCAUUGGGUUCAGUGGUUCGAAACCACUCCUCUCCACCA